Molecule: ribosomal RNA, 245 nt
Filed under: uncultured bacterium
Lineage: Bacteria
Description: partial 16S ribosomal RNA
Rfam family: Bacterial small subunit ribosomal RNA
Source: RNAcentral
UACAUAGGGAGCGAGCGUUAUCCGGAUUUAUUGGGCGUAAAGCGCAUGUAGGUGGUUUGUUAAGUUAGGUGUCAAAUUGUUGGGCUCAACCCAACUUCGCACUUAAUACUGACGAACUAGAGUUUAGGAGAGGAAAGGGGAACUCACAGUGUAGCGGUGAAAUGCGUAGAUAUUGUGAGGAACACCAGUGGCGAAGGCGCCUUUCUGGCCUAAAACUGACGCUGAGAUGCGAAAGCGUGGGGAGC